GGUGCUUGCACUGGGUGGAUGAGUGGCGAACGGGUGAGUAAUACGUGAGUAACCUGCCCUUGACUCUGGGAUAAGCCUGGGAAACUGGGUCUAAUACUGGAUACGACAUGUCAUCGCAUGGUGGUGUGUGGAAAGGGUUUCACUGGUUUUGGAUGGGCUCACGGCCUAUCAGCUUGUUGGUGGGGUAAUGGCUCACCAAGGCGACGACGGGUAGCCGGCCUGAGAGGGUGACCGGCCACACUGGGACUGAGACACGGCCCAGACUCCUACGGGAGGCAGCAGUGGGGAAUAUUGCACAAUGGGCGGAAGCCUGAUGCCGCGACGCCGCGUGAGGGAUGACGGCCUUCGGGUUGUAAACCUCUUUCAGCACGGAAGAAGCGAAAGUGACGGUACGUGCAGAAGAAGCGCCGGCUAACUACGUGCCAGCAGCCGCGGUAAUACGUAGGGCGCAAGCGUUGUCCGGAAUUAUUGGGCGUAAAGAGCUCGUAGGCGGUUUGUCGCGUCUGCUGUGAAAGCCCGGGGCUUAACCCCGGGUGUGCAGUGGGUACGGGCAGACUUGAGCGCAGUAGGGGAGACUGGAAUUCCUGGUGUAGCGGUGAAAUGCGCAGAUAUCAGGAGGAACACCGAUGGCGAAGGCAGGUCUCUGGGCUGUUACUGACGCUGAGGAGCGAAAGCAUGGGGAGCGAACAGG
RNAcentral lists this ribosomal RNA (691 nucleotides) under uncultured Actinomycetes bacterium. RNAcentral describes it as "bacterial SSU rRNA". It matches the Rfam family "Bacterial small subunit ribosomal RNA", at positions 75 to 776 of the family's 1533-position model. The record is from RNAcentral. Lineage: Bacteria; Bacillati; Actinomycetota; Actinomycetes.